UCUGCAUCUUUUACAAUGAACUUGACUUUG
This 30-nucleotide non-coding RNA is filed under the name Mus musculus (house mouse). The record is from RNAcentral. Lineage: Eukaryota; Metazoa; Chordata; Mammalia; Rodentia; Muridae.